GACGAGGUGACCGAGCGGUUAAGGUGAUGGACUGCUAAUCCAUUGUGCAUUGCAGGCAUGUGUUCGAAUCCCAUUCUCGUCG
This 82-nucleotide transfer RNA is filed under the name Daphnia pulicaria. Its description in RNAcentral is "tRNA-Ser". It matches the Rfam family "tRNA". Rfam says of the family: Transfer RNA (tRNA) molecules are approximately 80 nucleotides in length. Their secondary structure includes four short double-helical elements and three loops (D, anti-codon, and T loops). Lineage: Eukaryota; Metazoa; Arthropoda; Branchiopoda; Diplostraca; Daphniidae. The record is from RNAcentral.